Molecule: ribosomal RNA, 253 nt
Filed under: uncultured bacterium
Lineage: Bacteria
Description: partial 16S ribosomal RNA
Rfam family: Bacterial small subunit ribosomal RNA
Source: RNAcentral
UACGUAGGGGGCUAGCGUUGUCCGGAUUUAUUGGGCGUAAAGAGCUCGUAGGCGGCUCAUUGCGUCAACCGUGAAAACUUGUGGCUCAACUACAAGCUUGCGGUUGAUACGGGUGGGCUGGAGUUCGGUAGGGGAGACUGGAAUUCCUGGUGUAGCGGUGAAAUGCGCAGAUAUCAGGAGGAACACUGGUGGCGAAGGCGGGUCUCUGGGCCGAUACUGACGCUGAGGAGCGAAAGCGUGGGGAGCGAACAGG